UAAAGGCCAGUGGUAAACAGGACUUUGCAUUUGCAACACAUCAGGGUGCUGACAUCCUUUGCUUUUUAUGACGUCUCUGUUCUCUUUGUCCAUGCUAUAGCCAGCCACUUCCACUUAUUCAUAGUGGGCCCCAUCCUGGAGGAGUGGGGGAAAGAGGAUCCCCAGCCCCAGCCCCAUGGUAGUUGCACCUGGGAAAGUCAGAGCUUCCUGCUGGUUUGGAGGAGGUAGGCAGGUUGGAGAGAGUCCUUGCUAGAAUGAGGAGUAUUGGCAAAGCGUUGUCUUAUCAUAAGUGCUCUGUGUGGCUUAAGGACUCACAGAGCUGGAAGAGGAGAAAUACCAACUGGAUUAACUUUGCAAUUACAUGUGGAUGGCUUGAGCAGUUAAGUAACUUUAUGCAGCCCUUGCUCCAGGCUGCAAGAGCCUCCGUAAUGAGCUGGGUGAUGCUUUUAGGGCCUCUUUUCUGCAGGUGAGUUGGGCCCUGUUAGCCUGGGCAUGCUAGACAGUGUUGGGGCUUCUAGAGGCCAACACCCUCCAGUAGGGAUGAGCUGAGCAUGGGGAGAAAAUAGCCCUGGUGUGUGGCACUUCCAAGCCCCUCUAGGUUCAUGGUGCCUAGUGUCACUGUGCUCGUGGGAUCCCACUCAUCUGCAUUACAGCUCACACCUCAAGACACUUGGGAAGCAAGAGCCAUCUUCAUUCAUCAAGUACAGUGUUUUUUUUCUCCCCAAGACAGAGUCUUGCUCUGUCGCGUGGGCUGGAGUACAGUGAUGUGAUCUCAGAUCUCAGCUCACUGCAACCUCCAUCUCCUGGGUUCAAGCAGUUCUCCUGCCUCAUCCUCCCAAGUAGCUGGGAUUACAGGCACGUGCCACCAUGCCUGGCUAAUUUUUUUUAUAUUUUAGUAGUGACAGGGCUUCACCAUGUUGGCUGGGCUGGUCUCGAACUCCUGACCUCAAGUGAUCCACCUGCCUUAGCCUCCCAAAGUGCUGGGAUUACAGGCAUGAGACACCACGCCUGGCCAUCAUUGAGCACAAUAUUUUAAGUGCAUACCUGGUACCUGGUUUAGGGGCUUUUUAGUGCCGUGAAUGAGCUGUGUGUUCUUGGCUCUCCUGGGGCCUAUGAAAGCAGAAUGUCCCUCAAUCUAUUUUUUUAAAAUUUAGUUUUAGUCACUUUCACAAAAGUAAUUUAUCCUCCUUACGAUGUUUCACUUACCUGUGCAGAAUCCUCCUUCUGUUAGAACUGAUUGUUCUAAAUGACAUGCACCAAGUUGGAAGAUUAUACCUUUUGUCUUUUUAUUUCAACUGUUGAUCUGUAGAAAAUAUUGCUUUUUAGAUAAGGUAUCUAGAUGGCAACCUCACAGGAAAAUUAUAUGUUAGAAAUGUUUUCUUGAUGUUUACUUUUCAUUUUCUGAGUUUAAAAUUAUACAGUAUUCUUACAGUCAGGGAUAAGACUGGCUGCAGAGCCUGAUGGGAAGUAAUACACGGCUUGUGUUUACACUGGGCUGGCUUUCAUGAUUUACCCAUGUGCCUGGGAGGGGGAUGCACUUCAUUUGUGUAACUUUUUUUACUUAGGGUGGUGUUUUUAUAAUGCUAAAUGUUUGUUAUCGUGAAAAGAUGUUCUUAUUUAUUUUAAACAAGUGAAAGUGACAUAUAACUGAAACAGAUUUUCCACAAGGCUCAGCUUGUGUCCCUCUUUGUUGUGUCACAGUGACAGAGGCCCUUGCGCUACCUAGUGGUGCUGGCAUUUGAGGGGCGGGGCUCUGGGUAGCAUGGCUGGUUUGCAGCUCUCUGGUAACUUCUUGGUGAGGGUGUCAACCUACAGAAUGUGAGUGGAAGGACAAGGCCCGCACUUCCACCUUCCCCCUGAAAGCUGUGUCACUCUGAGGGACUGUUUAACCUCCUCAUCCCUCAUGACUACGGAGAUGACUGGAUUGCAGGGUUUUAUGAGAUAAUUAGAGACCAGGAGUAACAGCAUCAGUGGAGGGCCUGUCACAGUUCCUAUUUUUUUCAAUUUUUCUCAUUAUAAAAUAUUGUUAUUUUCCCAUUAUUGUUUUUCUGCCAGUAUUCCAUCAUUCUGGACCAAGAAUAUAUAAUAGAUGUGCAACUCUAUCCAGACACCUGUUUUUACAAAGACUUGCACUGCCUUUCCAGUAGGAAAUAUUACUGCUACCAUUCUGUUUUCUUAUGGUAAAAAUGCGGCCAGU
Molecule: long non-coding RNA, 2197 nt
Filed under: Macaca fascicularis (crab-eating macaque)
Lineage: Eukaryota; Metazoa; Chordata; Mammalia; Primates; Cercopithecidae
Description: lncRNA (ENSMFAG00000062038.1)
Source: RNAcentral